Molecule: ribosomal RNA, 426 nt
Filed under: uncultured soil bacterium
Lineage: Bacteria
Description: bacterial SSU rRNA
Rfam family: Bacterial small subunit ribosomal RNA
Source: RNAcentral
AGGAUGAACGCUAGCGGCAGGCUUAACACAUGCAAGUCGAGGGACGGUAGCAAUACUGGACCGGCAAACGGGUGCGGAACACGUACGCAACAUACCCUGAACUGGGGCAUAGCCUUCUGAAAAGGAGAUUAAUACCCCAUAAGAUCGUAGGUAGGCAUCUAUCAGCGAUUAAAGAUUUAUGGUUCAGGAUUGGCGUGCGUCCUAUUAGCUAGUUGGUAAGGUACGCCUACCAAGGCGACGAUAGGUAGCUGGUGUGAGAGCACGACCAGCCACACGGGCACUGAGACACGGGCCCGACUCCGUACGGGAGGCAGCAGUGAGGAUAUUGGUCAAUGGAGGCAACUCUAGAACCAGCCAUGCCGCGUGAAGGAUGAAGGCGUUCUGUCGUUAGUUAAACGUUCGUUUUAGGACGGGGUAAAGAACCGU